UACACUUCUUGUUUCAACUAUCUGCAAGCCAGCGUUGUAAUCAAAAGACUUUAGUCCACAUUAAUCAGAUAGUAGUAGCACUGCACAAAGGAACCUAGUGGAAUACAAAUUUCUCAUGUGACAUCUAAAUGAAUCUCAAGUUCCAUAAUACAUAAUCAAAUGAAGAAUCCAAUCAACAUUCCACUGAUUGACAGUAACAGAUAUUCAGAUUUUAGAACUUCCAAAUCUUUCAAACCUGUUUGUAAAAAUGAAAAGGGAAUGCCUAAAAAACCAGCAUUUCACCGCAAUUAAGUAUAACGGUCAGACUAGCUUACCUAGAUUCUUUCAACAAAUUAUUAUUGCGAAGUUGGAGUCGGAGACAAAGUAAAUUACCAAUUUCCAAUUUUUGAGGAAACACAGAGCAAACAGUAAACAUCAAUUCCAUCAUGAAGAAUGGAGAAUACCAAAAGAAAGACCCUCAAAAGAAAGUAAACUUCUAUAAUUUAAAUAUGGAAACCUAGCCUUUCACUUUCCCAGGGCUGAGUUAAGAAGUAACCAAGCCAUGAUACCCAAUUGACCAAACCACCAAAAUGUUUGUGCUCAGAAUUCUCCUACCUAACCUUCCCUUGAUCUCCCCUCUUCUUUUUCUCUCUUUCUUUUUAUUCUUCGCUUUUUUUUAUUUAUUUAUUUCUUUUAACAUCCAGUCUAAACCAUAAGAUCUUCAGUUACGACUUAUGAUACCCAAUGCUGAGAUUGAAACUAGUCCCAUUACAAUAGAACUGGAUUUCAAGCUCUAAUUAUCACUGUAAGUUAGUAAGUGCCACAAAGAAGACUAAUCAACGCACAGACAGGAAAAUAUCCGACUGAAGGAAAUAAAGCCGUAUUGCACCCAAAAGGGUGAUAACUGAUUAAGCAUAUCCUGAUCUAACCUUCAAUCAUCAGUCCAGGCCUCAAGGAGAUCAACAUCAUAAUGCUUGAAUUUGAUAGCUCAGACAUCCAAAUAUGUGAUCAUACAAACACAUAACAGUCAGAAACCAUUUAACCUCCAUAUAAGUUGCUCUUGGCUGACUGCAGCUAAGACUGCAUGUAACUAAUAUAGUAUUUCUUGAUGCUUGGUAGAACAUAACACAUGUAGCAAGUUUAAAAACAAAUGAAUAAUAAAAUGUAAAAUCAUUGGGUUGUAAUAAUAAUUCACAUAGGAUAUUAUCAUAUUCUACAAUUCAAUUAUAACAAGCAUCCAUAAUUGUCUCAUUCAUAUUAUGGCCAGAGAAGCUUCAUAAGACGCUGUUAUUUUUACUCAGAUAAAAUGAUAAUUGAUCAAAUUCAUGUGAUAAAGUGUGAGGCCAAAAGCAGAUUGUUUGCAGGCCUUUACUAUACACACACAACAAUUUUAGAGGAACAAGAAGAACGCAAUGAAUGCAUUAAAGUAAACAGUAAAUAAAUAAAGAGAGGAAAAAAAUAUGAAAAUAAAACUCUUGCCUGGGGAGUUGAUAGAAUCUCAAA
RNAcentral lists this unclassified non-coding RNA (1482 nucleotides) under Hevea brasiliensis (rubber tree). The record is from RNAcentral. Lineage: Eukaryota; Viridiplantae; Streptophyta; Magnoliopsida; Malpighiales; Euphorbiaceae.